RNAcentral lists this transfer RNA (72 nucleotides) under Oryzias sakaizumii (northern medaka). RNAcentral describes it as "tRNA-Val". It matches the Rfam family "tRNA". From Rfam's summary of the family: Transfer RNA (tRNA) molecules are approximately 80 nucleotides in length. Their secondary structure includes four short double-helical elements and three loops (D, anti-codon, and T loops). The record is from RNAcentral. Lineage: Eukaryota; Metazoa; Chordata; Actinopteri; Beloniformes; Adrianichthyidae.
CAGAGUAUAGCUAAGGAAGAAAAGCAUCUCCCUUACACCGAGAAGACAUCCGUGCAAAUCGGAUUGCCCUGA